UACAGAGACUGCAAGCGUUAUUCGGAUUCACUGGGCGUAAAGGGUGCGCAGGUGGCCGUGUGUGUCAGAUGUGAAAUCCCGGAGCUUAACUCCGGAACUGCGUCUGAAACUACACGGCUAGAGCAUUGGAGAGGGUAGUGGAAUUCACGGUGUAGCAGUGAAAUGCGUAGAUAUCAGGAGGAACACCGGUGGCGAAGGCGCACAUCUGGCCCGAUACUGACGCUGAGGCGCGAAAGCUAGGGGAGCAAACGGG
RNAcentral lists this ribosomal RNA (253 nucleotides) under uncultured bacterium. RNAcentral's name for it is "partial 16S ribosomal RNA". It matches the Rfam family "Bacterial small subunit ribosomal RNA", at positions 524 to 776 of the family's 1533-position model. The record is from RNAcentral.